This 1522-nucleotide ribosomal RNA is filed under the name Salmonella enterica subsp. enterica. RNAcentral describes it as "bacterial SSU rRNA". It matches the Rfam family "Bacterial small subunit ribosomal RNA". The record is from RNAcentral. Lineage: Bacteria; Pseudomonadati; Pseudomonadota; Gammaproteobacteria; Enterobacterales; Enterobacteriaceae.
ACGCUGGCGGCAGGCCUAACACAUGCAAGUCGAACGGUAACAGGAAGCAGCUUGCUGCUUCGCUGACGAGUGGCGGACGGGUGAGUAAUGUCUGGGAAACUGCCUGAUGGAGGGGGAUAACUACUGGAAACGGUGGCUAAUACCGCAUAACGUCGCAAGACCAAAGAGGGGGACCUUCGGGCCUCUUGCCAUCAGAUGUGCCCAGAUGGGAUUAGCUUGUUGGUGAGGUAACGGCUCACCAAGGCGACGAUCCCUAGCUGGUCUGAGAGGAUGACCAGCCACACUGGAACUGAGACACGGUCCAGACUCCUACGGGAGGCAGCAGUGGGGAAUAUUGCACAAUGGGCGCAAGCCUGAUGCAGCCAUGCCGCGUGUAUGAAGAAGGCCUUCGGGUUGUAAAGUACUUUCAGCGGGGAGGAAGGUGUUGUGGUUAAUAACCGCAGCAAUUGACGUUACCCGCAGAAGAAGCACCGGCUAACUCCGUGCCAGCAGCCGCGGUAAUACGGAGGGUGCAAGCGUUAAUCGGAAUUACUGGGCGUAAAGCGCACGCAGGCGGUCUGUCAAGUCGGAUGUGAAAUCCCCGGGCUCAACCUGGGAACUGCAUUCGAAACUGGCAGGCUUGAGUCUUGUAGAGGGGGGUAGAAUUCCAGGUGUAGCGGUGAAAUGCGUAGAGAUCUGGAGGAAUACCGGUGGCGAAGGCGGCCCCCUGGACAAAGACUGACGCUCAGGUGCGAAAGCGUGGGGAGCAAACAGGAUUAGAUACCCUGGUAGUCCACGCCGUAAACGAUGUCUACUUGGAGGUUGUGCCCUUGAGGCGUGGCUUCCGGAGCUAACGCGUUAAGUAGACCGCCUGGGGAGUACGGCCGCAAGGUUAAAACUCAAAUGAAUUGACGGGGGCCCGCACAAGCGGUGGAGCAUGUGGUUUAAUUCGAUGCAACGCGAAGAACCUUACCUGGUCUUGACAUCCACGGAAGUUUUCAGAGAUGAGAAUGUGCCUUCGGGAACCGUGAGACAGGUGCUGCAUGGCUGUCGUCAGCUCGUGUUGUGAAAUGUUGGGUUAAGUCCCGCAACGAGCGCAACCCUUAUCCUUUGUUGCCAGCGAUUCGGUCGGGAACUCAAAGGAGACUGCCAGUGAUAAACUGGAGGAAGGUGGGGAUGACGUCAAGUCAUCAUGGCCCUUACGACCAGGGCUACACACGUGCUACAAUGGCGCAUACAAAGAGAAGCGACCUCGCGAGAGCAAGCGGACCUCAUAAAGUGCGUCGUAGUCCGGAUUGGAGUCUGCAACUCGACUCCAUGAAGUCGGAAUCGCUAGUAAUCGUGGAUCAGAAUGCCACGGUGAAUACGUUCCCGGGCCUUGUACACACCGCCCGUCACACCAUGGGAGUGGGUUGCAAAAGAAGUAGGUAGCUUAACCUUCGGGAGGGCGCUUACCACUUUGUGAUUCAUGACUGGGGUGAAGUCGUAACAAGGUAACCGUAGGGGAACCUGCGGUUGGAUCACCUCCUUACCUUAAAGAAGC